UAGAUGCGAGAGUAGAGCAUAUCAAUAAGCGGAGGAAAAGAAACUAACAAGGAUUCCCUUAGUAACGGCGAGUGAAGCGGGAAGAGCUCAAAUUUGAAAUCUUCAAGGUUCUAUCUUGACGAAUUGUAGUUUAAAGAAGUGUUUUCUGUUAGAUGAGUAGCAAAAGUUCCUUGGAAUGGGACUAUCAUAGAGGGUGAGAAUCCCGUAUUUGGUUAUUCAUUCUAGCUUUGUGAUACACUUUCAAAGAGUCGGAUUGUUUGGGAAUGCAGUCCAAAAUGGGUGGUAAAUUUCAUCUAAAGCUAAAUAUUGGCGAGAGACCGAUAGCGAACAAGUACCGUGAGGGAAAGAUGAAAAGAACUUUGAAAAGAGAGUUAAACAGUACGUGAAAUUGUCAAAAGGGAAGCGUUUGACACCAGUGUUGUUUUUCCGAAAAUCAAUUACGAAUGGCUUGAUUUUGUGUUGUAUUGACCUUAUCAGCUUUCUGCACUUUUUUCGAGUCUUUCUUAAUGCACUUUUCGGUUAACAAGUUAACAUCAAUUUCUUUUGUUGUAAAAGAGUAUUCGGAAGGUGGCUUUCUUUUCGGAGAAAGUGUUUAUAGCCCUAUACUUCUACAAUCGGAGAGAUUGAGGUCUGCAGCGUAGAUCCUUCGGGGUUAGAUACACUUGUGCUAAGUUGUAGCUUUUCAUAGACAGCUUGUUGACUAUGUUUAGUCAUGCGGCUUACUCGCUUAUGCUAUUUUACCUACGCUUAGGAUGUUGAGCGCAUGUCUCUCUCU
This 775-nucleotide ribosomal RNA is filed under the name uncultured Neocallimastigales. RNAcentral describes it as "partial large subunit ribosomal RNA". It matches the Rfam family "Eukaryotic large subunit ribosomal RNA", at positions 22 to 616 of the family's 3401-position model. Lineage: Eukaryota; Fungi; Neocallimastigomycota; Neocallimastigomycetes; Neocallimastigales. The record is from RNAcentral.